Long non-coding RNA from Felis catus (domestic cat), 1667 nucleotides. RefSeq lists it as uncharacterized. The transcript is spliced from 2 exons. Lineage: Eukaryota; Metazoa; Chordata; Mammalia; Carnivora; Felidae. The record is from RefSeq and is a predicted model, not a curated record.
UCUGAUAGGGAUUGCAUUUUAUCUGUAAAUCAUUUUGAGGACUAUUGUCAUUUUAACAUUGUUAGGUCUUCCAAUCAGGAUUUCUUCUCAUUUAUUUAGAUCUUUCAUUUCCUUCAAUAAUGUUGUGUGGUUUCACUGUAGCAAUCUUAUACUUUCUUGAUUACAUCUAGCCCUAAGUAUUUUUUUUUUGAGAGUACUACAAAUGGAAUUGCUUUGUUAAUUCCAGAUUGCUCAUCACUGCUACAUAGAAAUACAACUAAUUUUUGUAUAUUGUACAUUGAUCUUCUAUAUUGCCAUUUUGCUGAGCUAGUUGGUUAAAAACUAAAGCUACUAGUUUUUACUGGGUUCCUUAGCAUUUUCUAUGUAUAAGAUAAGGUGUUUUACAAACAGAGAUAAUUUUACUUCUUUUAUUUUUCCAAUCUGAUACCUUUCGGUCUUUUUCUUGACUAAUUGCCCUGGCUAGAUCUUCCAGUAUAGUGUUGAGGAGAAGUGGCAAGAGCAGACAUCCUUGUCUUGUUUCCUAAAAGCUUUUAGCUUUCACCAUUAAAUACGACAUUUGCUCUAACCGCUUUGGAAAACAAUAUGGAGGUUCCCCAAAAAGCUAAAAAUAGAUCUAUCAUAUGAUUCAGCAGUUCCACAUCUGGAUAUUUGCCCACAGGAAACGAACACAGGAGUUCAAUGAGGUAUAUGCAUCCCUCAUGUUUAUCGCAGCAUUAUUCCCAAUAGCCAAGAUAUGGAAACAAUCCAAAUGUCCAACAAGAGAUUAAUGGAUAGAAAAGUUGUGGUACAUACAUCUAAUGGAAUAUUAUUCAGCCAGGAGAAAGGAGGAUAUCCAGCCAUUUGCAGAAUGGACCUUCCAUGAAUGGACCUUGAGCACAUUAUGCUAAGCAAAGGAAGCCAGACAGUGAAAGAUGCAGCAAUGCCCAAAACCCACCAGCGGUCACCCUGGUCAGAGCCAGGCUCACCAUCAAGGGACUAAACAGAUUCAGGUAUUUAAUCUCUAGAUACAAUCUCCAGCAGUGCUGAGUCUUUCUCAUGGGAAUGAUGAAUUCUAGUACUUACCUUUCACAACACUUCAGGAGUUAGCCCUUUCUAAGUUUAAAAAAGGGGUAAGGGGCAAACCUACCAACAGGGAAGACUUUCACAUUUACAUUAGAAUUGCACUGGAAUUCUGUAGAAUCUUGGACUUUUUUUUUUUCCCUUAAUUUUAGACAAGAAAUAUAAAGAAUGCUCCCUGGGAAGUAGUCAAUCAACCAUUCUAAGUUCAGUCCAAGAAAAUUUUAUUGUUCUCGAUCCUACUUUCCACAAAUGCAUAAAUAAAAUGCAGGAAAUUCCCACUAUGCUGAGUGCCCCUGGGUUGUAUCAUAGGACAGGAGAGGAUGGGGUAGAGAAGUCUGCAGUUAUUAAAUACAAAGACAGAUGCAUGAGUUUUGUUUCAUGGGGUGUGUGUGUGUGUGUGUGUGUGUGUGUGUGUGUGUAGAGUUAAAGCUUAUGGCAAUAAGAAAAUUCAGCACGAUCUGAGAGAUCUUCCUGUCACGAGAUCUGUAGACGUAGCUCAAAGAGUGUGACGGGGAAUCAGCAACACCGUCUUCCUUAACUGGUGUUGUAGUCAUUUCUUAAUGGGGUGGGGGGGGGGAGAAGGACCACUUUCAUGCCUUCCUGACCAA